This 153-nucleotide ribosomal RNA is filed under the name uncultured bacterium. RNAcentral describes it as "partial 16S ribosomal RNA". It matches the Rfam family "Bacterial small subunit ribosomal RNA", at positions 1346 to 1500 of the family's 1533-position model. The record is from RNAcentral.
AGGUCAGCAUACUGCCGUGAAUACGUUCCCGGGCCUUGUACACACCGCCCGUCACACCAUGAGAGUUGGAGAUACCCGAAGCCUGUGAGCUAACAAACGAGGCAGCAGUCGAAGGUAGAAUCAAUGAUUGGGGUGAAGUCGUAACAAGGUAUC